AAAAAUCACAGAGAGAGAAAAAUAGUGAUAAAAAGGAACAAUGUCCUACUCUUACCCUCUUAAGUUUAUAGAUAGCUUUUCUACUUAUGAAUUCUAUCAUCAUAUGAAAUUCAACAUACCUUAAACCAAAUUCUCUAUUUUCCCUCUCAAAGCAGCCUUCCUGAUUAGGGUCCUUUUUUUUUUUUUCAGAUUUAUUCUCAUAGCUACCUAAGCACAAAACCCAGGAGUCAUUUAUUACUGCCGCCUCUUCCAUACACUCAUAUCCAAUCAGUAAUCAAGUCCUGUUGUUUCUGCCUUCAAAAUAAUUUUUAUAUCUUUCCCUUUUGGUUACCAUGGAUACCAUCGAAUCUCUCUUUUUGCUUCAUGCCUGGACAACUGCAGUAACUUCUGAGUCUCUUGGCUCCAAUCUACCCUGAAUACAGCUGCUGCUAGAAUAAUUUCUUUCAUCAUGUCACAACUCUACCCAGAAACCUUCAGUAGCUUCUCACUGUUCUCAUUUAAAGUCCAAAUUCUUUAAAAUAACUUGCAUGACCUUCCAUAAUAUGACCAUAUUUAAAGGAUCCCUUCUAAUUUACAUGGUUCCUUUGUGUAAAACUGGGAAAGCACACACACUUUGGGCAUAGGAAGCCUGGAGAUUUAAAGGUUAGUAAGUGAAACU
RNAcentral lists this long non-coding RNA (658 nucleotides) under Marmota monax (woodchuck). Lineage: Eukaryota; Metazoa; Chordata; Mammalia; Rodentia; Sciuridae. The record is from RNAcentral.